AUUGAACGCUGGCGGCAGGCCUAACACAUGCAAGUCGAACGAGUGGCGGACGGGUGAGUAAUGUCUGGGAAACUGCCCGAUGGAGGGGGAUAACUACUGGAAACGGUAGCUAAUACCGCAUACCAUCGGAUGUGCCCAGAUGGGAUUAGCUUGUAGGUGAGGUAACGGCUCACCUAGGCGACGAUCCCUAGCUGGUCUGAGAGGCUGAUCAGCCACGCUGGAACGGAGGCACGGUCCAGACUCCUACGGGAGGCAGCGGUGGGGAAUAUUGCACAAUGGGCGCAAGCCUGAUGAAGCCAUGCCGCGUGUAUGAAGAAGGCCUGCGGGUUGUAAAGUAGUUUCAGCGGGGAGGCGUUACCCGCAGGAGAAGCACCGGCUAACUCCGUGCCAGCCGCCGCGGUAAUAC
Molecule: ribosomal RNA, 406 nt
Filed under: uncultured bacterium
Lineage: Bacteria
Description: partial 16S ribosomal RNA
Rfam family: Bacterial small subunit ribosomal RNA
Source: RNAcentral